Clupea harengus (Atlantic herring) is the source of this 1011-nucleotide long non-coding RNA. The record is from Ensembl. NCBI's taxonomy places the organism in Eukaryota, Metazoa, Chordata, Actinopteri, Clupeiformes, Clupeidae.
ACAGAUGGUAUUUGUCAUUGAGCCUGGCAAAGGCAGACGCGACACCACUGGAAACGCAAGAGAGUUGUGCCCUGGGCAUGAAGUUAUACGUGAUCCACUGCGUGUGCUGUGGGCCAGCGCCAGCGCUACCUGCAUGAGAGUGGGGAGGCCGCACUAAAGGAAACAUCUAAUGGAUCAGAGUGCCUUUCUCUGCACUUCUUUUGAGAGAAGAAGAAAGAAGAAGAAGAAGAAGAAGAAGCAAGGGAUGUUUUCUCACACUCAAAGUCCUCCAGGAUUCUGUGCUCUUCUUCUUCUUCAUUCACAGGCUCCCUUUAAGUGCGAUGCCAUCAGAGUUCAAGAAAAACACCCGGAGGCUGUUCGACCCAACCAAAGCCGAGUGAGAGCCUUUGAAUGACUUCACUUGAGGCCAAAAAUAAAUCAAACAGGCAAUGUGACAUUCCAUGAGGCCAUGUGAUGCCCAUCACUCACCUCACCGCACCAAUUCUGUUUGCUAUGGCCUGUUUGGUAACCCAUGAACACAUGGACAUGCACGCACACACACACACACACGCACGCCCACGCGCCCCCCUCCACACACACACACACACACACACACACUGUGCUGGCUAUUGCCUACAGGCAAGAGAGAUUGACUCACGUUGGCUCAAGAAGCAGAGCUCUCGCUCAAAUCUACUUUGCCGCAUGUUUUCGAAUCUGCUCUAAUCGAUUAUGCUCUCUGCUCUCACCAGAACCUUAAAGACGAGCAGAGAAUGUCAACAACGACACCUCCUAUAAAAGGCAUAUUUACUUAAUCCCUAAAGCCAUGGUAGUUAGUGUCAUGUGACUGAGCCUCGGCGGUUAUGUCACAGUACGGUUCUCACGUCUUACCAUCGUCCUGCACCAGGCCUUCUUCGCUCAGCGUCGUCUGCAGCGCCACCUGCUGGGCGCCCCCCACCACCUGCGUCUGGCCCAGCUCCAGCAUGGCCUGCUGCUCCGAGCCCACUCCAGAAGGUGGAGGCUGGAGCGUGCCGC